Molecule: non-coding RNA, 75 nt
Organism: Potamilus streckersoni
Lineage: Eukaryota; Metazoa; Mollusca; Bivalvia; Unionida; Unionidae
Source: the annotation of a GenBank genome assembly
GUUCCCUUGGCUUAGUGGUUAGAGCGUCCGCCUCGGAUGCGGGAGAUAGCUGGUUCUGAACUCCGCCGAGUUAUA